UUGUGCAUCAGCUGUCACUUUUAUCAGCUUUAGGCCGCUUUCACAUGAUAAACGUAUCGCGAUACAUAAAAUUUAAACUCUAACAAUAAGUCAUAUCAAGCAAACUACGGAUAAGACAUUUACACGUUUGGAAAUUGAAUAUAUUUCUUUUGUUUUUCUGUCAAUUAUUCGUUCUUUGGACAAAAAUUUUGUAUUCUUGAAUCCACGUGUCUACAUCACGUCGUUGUCAUGUAAAUAGCAAAAUUUGAUUAAGUAUUUUGCCUAAAAUCUAGAGACGAAAAGUAUUGGAAGGGGUGGAAAUUUUCGGAAUACUUAAAAUGAGUAUCGCAAUAUUAUAUUACACGAGAAUUAUCGUUUGAACGUUUUCAUUGUGCACAUAUAUUUAAUAUUCAUCAUACACGUAUCACGAUACGUGAAUUGUGGUGUAAAGCGGUCUUAACUACAUAAAGUUAAAACGUGAUAUUAGAAAAUGAUGUCUGACAGAGAUUAUGCACCUCUCAGUGCCGCUUGCGUACGUUCUUUAAAUGAUAAACUUUACGAAAAACGGAAAGCGGCUGCGGUUGAAAUAGAAAAAAUGGUCAAAGAAUUUGCUGCUCAUAAUAAUACCGUUCAAAUUAAACGAUUAUUAAAAGUGUUAGGUCAAGAUUUAGCCACUUCACAAAACCCACAUACACGUAAAGGUGGUUUAAUAGGUUUGGCAGCAAUAGCAGUAGGUUUGGGAAAAGACACUGGUCAAUAUAUAGAAGAUUUAAUUCAUCCUAUUUUAGCUUGUUUUUGUGACUCUGAUUUAUAUGUAAGAUAUUACGCAUGUGAAAGUUUAUAUAAUGUGGUUAAGGUAGCUAGAGGUGCUGUAUUACCACAAUUCACAGAUAUUUUUGCAGCACUUAGUAAAUUAGCAUGUGACUCAGAACAGAAUGUAAAAAAUGCAACAGAGUUACUCGAUAGACUUAUGAAGGACAUCGUCACAGAAAGUGGCCUGUUCGAUUUAGUUGGUUUUAUGCCAUUAUUACGAGAACGUAUUUGUACCAAAAAUCCAUUUGGUAGGCAAUUUGUAAUAGCUUGGGUAUCUGUCUUAGAUGCUGUACCCAAUAUGGAUUUUAUUAUAUUUUUACCUGAAAUUCUUGAUGGUCUAUUUAAAAUAUUAGAGGAUCCAACACCAGAGAUUAAAAAAGUUACAGAUACAGUCCUCUGUGAAUUUUUACGUAGUAUAAAAACUAAUCCUAGUAGAGUGGAUUUUCCUGGUAUGAUAAAUAUAUUAAUUACACACGCGCAAAGCAUAGACGAAUUAUUACAAUUAACGGCCAUCACAUGGAUCAAGGAAUUUGUACAUUUAUCUGGACCUCUUAUGCUUCCUUAUAUGUCUGGUAUUCUUAUAGCUGUUCUACCUUGUUUAGCAUAUGAUGGAGAUACCAGGAAAAGUAUUAAGGAAACUGCCACUCAAGUAAAUACAAACUUAAUGAAAUUAAUAACUAUGGAAAAUGUACAAGUAAAUAAUACCUCUGAAAAUGAUGCACAAAUUACACAAGAUGCUAGUCAAAAUCGAUCGUUAGCGGAAAGUUUAGAUUUACCUAGCGUUGUCGAAGUAUUAACUAAGCAUUUAAUGUAUAUGUCGGUUCAGACAAAAGUUGCGGUUUUAAAAUGGAUUCAUCAUUUGUUUCUUCACAUUCCACAUAAAAUGUUUUCUCACAUUGAAAAUUUAUUUCCAAUUCUAAUGAAAUCCUUAAGCGAUAAUUCUGACGAAGUAGUUCAACAAACAUUAGUAGUAAUGGCUGAAAUAAUUAGUUCAAAAUCUCCAGAAGCGGCAACCGCAGAUUUAAAUGCAGAGAUGCAGAACAAAUACUUCACUAAGUUCAUAGUGAAUUUGCUAAGACUUUUUUCAACAGAUAGAAAUUUGCUAGUGGAAAGAGGAGCUUUUAUUAUAAGAGAAUUAUGUGUGUUAUUAAGUGCUGAAGAUAUUUACAAAACAUUGGCAAAGAUAUUAUUAGAAGAACAAAACUUAAGUUUUGCUUGCACAAUGAUACAAACUUUAAAUGUUAUAUUAUUGACAAGUUCAGAGCUAUUUGAUUUACGAAAUAAACUUAAAGAUUUAGAUUCUAUAGAAAGUUGUGAAUUAUUCAAAUGUUUAUACGUAUCCUGGUGUCACAAUCCUGUUGCAACUGUUGCUUUAUGCCUUCUGUCACAGCAUUAUGGUCAUGCCUGCAAUAUUAUAAAAUCAUUUGAAAAUAUAGAAGUUACUGUAGAAUUUCUCAUAGAAAUCGAUAAAUUGGUACAAUUGAUUGAGUCUCCAAUAUUUACAUAUUUAAGAUUACAACUUCUUGAAAGGGAAGAAAAUGAUGCACUAGUGUAUGCACUUUAUGGUUUACUCAUGAUACUUCCUCAGAGUGAGGCAUAUGCAACGUUGCAAAGACGUUUAGCAGCGAUUCCUCCAAAAACAAAUACAGUACAGAAAUCUACACCAAGCCCAAAACCUUUAGAAGAUAUGUUUGACUUUCCAGAAUUAUUGAAACAUUUUCAUACUAUUCAAGAACAACAUAAGGAGCAAAAACGUAAACAACGAUUAACAAAUUUGAUUGAAAAAAAUACGAGCCAUAAUGAUAUAUAAGUACAAUAAGUCUUUUUACGAUAUUCACGAUGCUGAUGUCUCAUUGAUCGUAGUGGGAAAAUUAAAUCGAGUAAUUAUUACAGUUGGUUAGAUCUCGUGGUUGAUUUAAUCAUUGAGGUCAACAAAAUCUAUUGAAAAAUAUGUGAACAAAGGAUUACUGUAACAUUUGCAUAAGCUAAAAUUUUAAAUUAUACAUAAUUAUUUCUAUAAAGAUAAACUAGUAUUUGUAUAUAUCUAUACUUUUUUACUGCAUAAACGUAUUAUGUCUAUAAAUACAAUGACAUAUUUACAAUUUUUUUUACCCGUAUUAAAUCAAUAUACAUGUAUAUAAUAAGUACUAAGUCCAAUUUGUUUUUAUAGUUUUUUUCCUAAUGUAACUGAGCAAUAUGAUCUACUUCACAAUUCGUAUUUAUUAGUGCUGUAUAUACAUUGCAAAUACGUGAAAAUAUAGUUUAUGGACAUUGACUAUAUACAUAAUACACCAAUUUUUAUCAUAUGUCCCUCGUCUAGUAAGAGAAAAUAAUUUGUGACUCUUACACUGUACAUUGUAUCUUAAUAUUUACAUCUAGGUACACUAUAUUACUUAUUCUUUAACAAUAUGCGUUCUUUAAACUUGCUAUACAUGUCAGUCUUAUUCUUAAAAAUGUAAAAGAAAGGGUAAAAAUUAAAGUAGUAAUUGCUAAAUUGAUAUGUAUUCCAAAUCAUCUGUAUCCUCUAUACCUUCGAGCGAUGACAAACGAUCAAGCUGAUCGAUAAGUCGCCCAUUUCUAUGUAAAAUCAUUGUAAGGCUUUCUUGUGUAACACAAAGUUUUUUCCAUACUUUUGCACUUUCUUGAGUAGGUUGAUUAGUUUUCUCACUUGUUUUUAAUUUUCCUGGAAGUCUAUCGAUUAAAUGUAAAAUAUUUUCAUAAUGUUCUUUACUCUCUUGCGAUAAACGAUAUGAAUAUGUUUCUAAUACUUGUUCAUAGUUAUCUACGUCUUUAUCUAAUAUUUGAGUUUGUAGGAAGACGGUUUGCGCAAUUUUAUACCAAUCGGCAACAUAUUCAGAUCUAUUUAUCAUUGAUGGUAUACAAAAUGUUUCAAGAAGAUUUUUUAUUCUCUGUCCCGUUUCUGUA
Molecule: non-coding RNA, 3717 nt
Organism: Nomia melanderi (Alkali bee)
Lineage: Eukaryota; Metazoa; Arthropoda; Insecta; Hymenoptera; Halictidae
Source: RefSeq, a predicted model, not a curated record